CCUACGGGCGGCAGCAGUGGGGAAUAUUGCACAAUGGGGGAAACCCUGAUGCAGCGACGCCGCGUGAGUGAAGAAGUAUUUCGGUAUGUAAAGCUCUAUCAGCAGGGAAGAAAAUGACGGUACCUGACUAAGAAGCCCCGGCUAACUACGUGCCAGCAGCCGCGGUAAUACGUAGGGGGCAAGCGUUAUCCGGAUUUACUGGGUGUAAAGGGAGCGUAGACGGUGUGGCAAGUCUGAUGUGAAAGGCAUGGGCUCAACCUGUGGACUGCAUUGGAAACUGUCAUACUUGAGUGCCGGAGGGGUAAGCGGAAUUCCUAGUGUAGCGGUGAAAUGCGUAGAUAUUAGGAGGAACACCAGUGGCGAAGGCGGCCUACUGGGCACCAACUGACGCUGAGGCUCGAAAGUGUGGGUAGCAAACAGGAUU
Molecule: ribosomal RNA, 424 nt
Filed under: uncultured Bacteroides sp.
Lineage: Bacteria; Pseudomonadati; Bacteroidota; Bacteroidia; Bacteroidales; Bacteroidaceae
Description: bacterial SSU rRNA
Rfam family: Bacterial small subunit ribosomal RNA
Source: RNAcentral